Etheostoma spectabile (orangethroat darter) is the source of this 1014-nucleotide long non-coding RNA. RefSeq lists it as uncharacterized. The record is from RefSeq and is a predicted model, not a curated record. Lineage: Eukaryota; Metazoa; Chordata; Actinopteri; Perciformes; Percidae. The transcript has 3 exons.
CGCAGAGCACGGAGGGAAGGAGUGAGCGUGAGAGAAAACGGGAAGAAGUCGGAAAACCAAGAUAAAAUAUUAGCAGUGUGUAAAGACCCCAACACUCUUUUACCUGCCUAAUUUCACUUAAUUAGGCUGCACGUUAGUGCGUCUCUGUGUGUAUUUUUAAAGUCUAUGAGUUACUAAAAAUGCUUAGCUAAAAAUGCAUAGCUUAGCCGCUAUGCUAGCCGAUUUAACGAUGCUAAUCUAUAGACUGUAUAUUAUUAAAUACUAUUAACCGUCUAUGUGCUAACCGCAUAGCUAUUCUGCUAACAAUAGCUGCUAGAAGUUAGCUUGUGUGGCUACUAGAAAAGUGAACCAAGCUUGGACCCAACACAGUAUUCAAGUUCAGAUGGGGCCCCACGGUGACCAGUGAUGAAGAAGUCCUGUGAUGAAGACACAUUUUGGACUGAUGAGAUGUUAGCGCAAUUUGUGACCAGAAAAGCCCUUUCCUGACGAAGAUUUCAGCCUGCUGUUACCCGCUACUCUCCGACACAAGUCGUCUCUCCAGGACAGGAACAGAACUGCGGUGUGAUGGCGCUGCAGCAGAGAGAGAAAGAUCUGGGUGACCAUCUGAAACCAAUUAUGGCGCCGCUGCAGCCACCCAGAAACUCAGUGACGGAUGGGGAUCUUGUAUUUAUAGCUGGGGCUUUAUCUCCAUUCUACGAUCCAUUACAAAGCUGCCUGGAGUCCCAUGGGUGAUCUGCCCUGUCCCCUCUAAUCUGGCCGAGCUGCUGCGAUUCCAUCACUCCCGGCGAACCACACAGAAAGAUUAGUCAGACUCUACAUACAACAGAUGUGUCCAACACUUGAUUUGUGUGUGUUUUAUUGACUCUGGCCAUCUGUUAAUACAGUUGCUGGUUCCUCCUCAUGUGUUUGUUGAUGCACGCAGACAGGGGAGCUGAGUGCCAGAAGAAACAUUCAGCGAAGGAGAGAUGAGAGAGAGAGAGAGAGAGUUAGACAGAGAGAGAAUGGAGUUAGAGG